AAGCUAAAAAUACAACAAGAAAUAAAAAUUUCUUCUUUUGAUACUGCCCUAUGUAACGAGCAGGUAGUGAGGUAGUGUUCUUUUUUCGGACAAUAGUGGACAAUAGGAUAUAAAAUUUAUACGAAUAUCCACGCAGAUUUUUCUUAAAUAAACUAACAAUAUUUUUAUGAAUUUUUGUUAAAAAUCUGUUAAGCCCAAGCUAUUCCAGCAAAAGCUGAGGAUAUUGCUGUUAUUCUAAGGGUCUGUUUUUCACAUGCGGUUACAGUAAUCCGGUAAUCCAUUGCAAGUGGCACGAAUGCAAUCACCUGUUUAUAUCCAGUGAAUUAAUAAUUGAAUACGAUAAUUAUAUAAAAAUGUCUAAUGUAUCGGGUCGCAAUAUCGCACGAUUGUCACGAAUAUUCCAGCCGAUUAUUGCGCAUAUCGCUACCACUAAAAAGACGGAGGUUCCUUCGAAAAGUUAUAAAAAUUUAAUUAAAUAUGGAAUGAUGAAACAAGUAAACAGCGGCAUGUACGCAUUUCUACCUAUGGGCUUGCGGGUUUUAAAUAAAUUGACCGCGAUCGUUGACAAGGAGAUGGAGAAGAUCGGAGCCCAAAAGAUGUUACUUCCAGCUUUAACGUCGAGAGAUUUGUGGGAAAAGACGGACAGACUGAGGGAGAAUAUCUCAGAAUUGUUUCACGUAAAAGACAGGUCUAAUAAACAUUACAUACUUAGUCCAACAUAUGAGGAAACAAUUUGUAAUUUAAUGUCGACUGUAGGAGUAUUGUCAUCAAAGACAUUCCCUGUAAGAUUGUAUCAAGUUUCUACUAAAUGGAGGGAUGAAAUGAAACCAAGACUAGGAUUUCUUAGAAGCAAAGAAUUUCUUAUGAAAGACCUGUAUACGUUUGAUACGAAUAUAAGUGAAGCUCAAGAGACGUAUACGUCUGUGUGCGAAGCUUACGAUAAUAUAUUUAAGAAACUAGGGAUCCAAUUUAUGAAAGCUAUCGGCGAUCCAGGUUCGAUUGGAGGUUCCUUAUCUCACGAGUAUCAUUAUACGUGUAAUAUCGGAGAAGAUACCCUUUGUAUAUGCUCAUCGUGUGAAUACGCUAUUAACAAGACCAUGUGCAAUCAGUCUCAAUGUCCUAAAUGUAACGGCGACUUUCGCGAAGAAAAUACUUCGGAGGUGGGACAUACGUUCCUGUUAGACACGAAAUUCACGAAACCUCUGAACGUGACGCAAAAGUUGAAAAACGAAUCGAUACCUUUGGCAAUGGGUUCUUACGGACUCGGUUUGAGUCGGAUUUUUACAGUCGCCACUGAAAUAUUGUCUACCGAAGAAGAAUUGAGAUUUCCGAAAGCUAUAGCACCUUACACGGUGUGCGUUAUACUGCCGAAGAAAGGCAGUAAGGAAGAAACCGGGUCUCAGUACUUGAACGAAAUAAUAGAGACUUUAGAUCGAUUAAACAUUGAUUUCGUACUCGACGAUAGAACGAAUUUGACAAUUGGCAAUCGAUUGAUGCAUUCUCGUGUGUCCGGAUUUCCUUAUGCCAUCGUAAUUGGGAAAUCCACUAUAAGAUCUCCGCCUUUGAUCGAAGUUCACGAUAUAUACGAUUCGACGAGUUACGAACUACCUACGGAGGAUAUACCUAACUAUUUCAAUGACCGAGCUAUGAAGAUUUGAGGAGAUACUUGUUUGAGGAGAAUCCCAUUUAAUGUUUCUCGAUGAAACAAGUUACUUAUUUUUUUAAUAAACGUUUCAGGUUGCACAUUGUACGACGCGUCUACAGCUUUCGCCCAAAUUUCUGUUUCCUUCCAGCCUUUCUGAACGGGGAGAUCUAUACUCCA
Ceratina calcarata is the source of this 1822-nucleotide RNA transcript. It is a transcript of the gene named prolyl-tRNA synthetase 2-like protein, mitochondrial, with no coding region annotated. The record is from RefSeq and is a predicted model, not a curated record. Lineage: Eukaryota; Metazoa; Arthropoda; Insecta; Hymenoptera; Apidae. The transcript has 7 exons.